RNAcentral lists this ribosomal RNA (843 nucleotides) under uncultured bacterium. RNAcentral describes it as "bacterial SSU rRNA". It matches the Rfam family "Bacterial small subunit ribosomal RNA", at positions 9 to 842 of the family's 1533-position model. The record is from RNAcentral.
GAGUUUGAUCCUGGCUCAGAUUGAACGCUGGCGGCAGGCCUAACACAUGCAAGUCGAGCGGAAACGAUCCUAGCUUGCUAGGAGGCGUCGAGCGGCGGACGGGUGAGUAACACGUGAGAAUCUACCCAUUAGUGGGGGAUAACCUGGGGAAACCCAGGCUAAUACCGCAUAAUCUCUACGGAGGAAAGCAGGGGAUCUUCGGACCUUGUGCUGAUGGAUGAGCUCGCGUCGGAUUAGCUUGUUGGUGAGGUAAUGGCUCACCAAGGCGACGAUCCGUAGCUAGUCUUAGAGGAUGAUCAGCCACACCGGGACUGAGACACGGCCCGGACUCCUACGGGAGGCAGCAGUGGGGAAUCUUGGACAAUGGGGGCAACCCUGAUCCAGCCAUGCCGCGUGUGUGAAGAAGGCCUUCGGGUUGUAAAGCACUUUCAGUAGGGAGGAAGGCUUAUCCUUAAUACGGAUGAGUACUUGACGUUACCUACAGAAGAAGCACCGGCUAAUUUCGUGCCAGCAGCCGCGGUAAUACGAAAGGUGCGAGCGUUAAUCGGAAUUACUGGGCGUAAAGCGCGCGUAGGCGGUUUGCUAAGUCAGAUGUGAAAGCCCCGGGCUCAACCUGGGAACUGCAUUUGAAACUGGCAGGCUAGAAUACAGUAGAGGGAGGUGGAAUUUCCGGUGUAGCGGUGAAAUGCGUAGAGAUCGGAAGGAACACCAGUGGCGAAGGCGGCCUCCUGGACUGACAUUGACGCUGAGGUGCGAAAGCGUGGGGAGCGAACAGGAUUAGAUACCCUGGUAGUCCACGCCGUAAACGAUGUCUACUAGUCGUUGGGAAUCUUAGUAUUCUUG